UUUAAAUUACCAAUUAGUAUAACAGUGACUAAAGCAUGUAUAUGAAACAAAUUUUCUGCAUGUCAAUAAAUGAACUAGCACUCUAGACAGGAGGCCCAAGUAUAGGAUAUGAGCUCUUAUAUACCCUUAUGUACAUUUUUUUCAUUUCCAAAUUUUUAAUUUCUAAUUCAAUAUAGAAGCUAAAAUUUAUUGUUCACUAAAAUUACACAAAUUUACUUUUCUGGCAACUGGCAUCAGGGAAUGAUGUGUGGCACAUCCUUUAUUGAUAUAUUUAUUUGAUUUAUUUGAUCUAUUUGAAAUUAUUACUUCCCUAUAUCCCUAUUGAAUUCCUAUUCAAUAUUUUUUACCGUACUCCAUCAGAGCACAACUGUCCUUUGUGCAUGAUCUCUCCUUUCUAUAAACGGUGCUUUAUCUACAUUUGUUCACACUAUUCCAAGAUAAAAUAUGUAAAGUGGCUUCAUGUACCUGUCUUCUUCUUUGGAAAGCUAAUAUAUAUUUAUAACUAUCCUAUUCAAACACCAUACCUACAUUUUUUAAGCCUGGCCAGACAUUGCUGGUUACUUUGUCAGAGCCAGUGGAAUAGUCAUAAGCUAACUAUCACAACAGUUCCAUACAUAUUUCUACCUCUACUAUUACCAACCAUGGAAGAGAGUAGGCUCAUUCCUGCGAACUUUGACGAGGAUCGUAUAUUUUAUCUUCAUGUGGAUCCCGAAGCUGUUACACAUGAGUUACCCUCCCUAUUUUAUAGGAAGUAUAGGGAACUUCUUCGAGAUAGGAUUAUUGUAAUAGACAUGAAUGACAAUCAAAUUGAGCUAUCAUUGAGCAGAAGGUUUCUACUGGCUACAUACUCCAUGGAUUUCAUAAUUUGGUCACAUGUUACGGGCUCGGCCAUGGUAGCUGGAUGAAGUUACUGUACGUUGGGGAGGACAUAUUCGUUGUUAUAAAGGUCAAAGACAGCUUCAUGAUGCGAAAAGAAUUCUCAUAUCCAACUUCUAAUCUUUUGCACAAAAAUAAGCCACCAACCAAUCACCUUUCUGCCCAACAAAUGCCACCAGUUUCGACUCCUUCAGAUUUGGUUCAUUCCAACUAUGCAGAUAUGCCAUUUCUAGAAGUUAAUUUGCAAAAUAGCUUUGUACAAAAAACUCUUCAUAAUCCCAUUACCACAAUACCUUCCCUUGCCUCCACUGGGAACACCUUCGAGAUGAAAACUGUCUACAAGCAAGAUCUUCAGCUCACAGGCUUCCAGGGAUAGGAUGGUUUCCUCAGUGCUACUCCGCUGUCUAAAACUUUUCUUCAGAAAGACCUGAACCACUCCGCUGCCAGCACGUUACAUACCAUGCCUAACAAAUACAACCAAUUUGGCCAGGAUCCAACCCAAGUUUCCCAACAGGUAUCCCCAUACUGCAAUGGUACUGCUAAUCAUGUUUGUUCCAUUACUAAACUACAAACUCACCCUACCGGAAAGGUCGAACUGAACCAAUACGCUACACCAUUAACCACUGGUGGCCCCAACUCAAACAUUCAAGGACCUCAUGUUUAUCGUUACCUUAAGCUUCUCACUUCCAACUAGGUUGACAACAGUUCCGUGAUCAUUCCCCUUAGAUUUGCUGAGAGUGCAUUUCCUAGCAGACACAACCAUGUCAAGGUGAUUCUGGACAAUGGCUCUUGCUACCGCAUUGGAUUGAGAUGGAGCAAAAAAAA
Molecule: non-coding RNA, 1701 nt
Organism: Arachis ipaensis
Lineage: Eukaryota; Viridiplantae; Streptophyta; Magnoliopsida; Fabales; Fabaceae
Source: RefSeq, a predicted model, not a curated record